CUGGAAGCCUGCCUCUCUGCUUGACUUCAAUAACUUAUCUCCAUGAAUCCCCAGCAGAAAGCAUGUUCUAUACUCCAGUUCUCGAGAAGAUGAGACGUGAGUGCUGGGGAAUUAGAAGACAGAGGGGCUUUACUGCAACAGUGAACAAGCUGAAAAUUACAAGUUUCCAGUGGGAGAAGCACGCGGGUCAAGUGUCUGCUCCGAUGAGCCGGCAGCGUGGCUGAACACACUCCGACGAGCUCACCUCCCGGAAACUCCUGCGUGCAUGCGAAUGAGGAGCAUUUCCAGUUUGUGUUUACAAGCUCCUGCAAACAAGAGCUGGGCUGUUCUCCCGAGUCAGAGGUGCGUGACUCAAAAUCGCACUAUCUGGAAAUUCAAUGAGAGGAUUCUUUUGUCCACAAAUUCCUCGCCCUUUCAACAAUCAAAAAACGAUGGCUAUGUCAAACACGA
RNAcentral lists this long non-coding RNA (450 nucleotides) under Neogale vison (American mink). RNAcentral's name for it is "Neovison vison (American mink) lncRNA (ENSNVIG00000006125.1)". Lineage: Eukaryota; Metazoa; Chordata; Mammalia; Carnivora; Mustelidae. The record is from RNAcentral.